Xiphophorus couchianus (Monterrey platyfish) is the source of this 1382-nucleotide long non-coding RNA. RefSeq lists it as uncharacterized. Lineage: Eukaryota; Metazoa; Chordata; Actinopteri; Cyprinodontiformes; Poeciliidae. The record is from RefSeq and is a predicted model, not a curated record. The transcript is spliced from 3 exons.
UUGCAAAUGUUGCAAUGGAGUUUGUCAUGGUAACAAAUGAGCAUUGAGCAUUUUGUUGUGGCAACAACCUGAGAAGAAACCUUUACCAGGCCUCCUCAUAAAAAAAAGACGGUGUCUAAAUGUGCUCUUAAAGCAGCAUUAAAAUUUCUCUGCAAAUCUCAGUCUUGUUGGCACAUAAAACAAAUCACAACUUAGGGAGCAAACAUGUUUUUUUUAACUCAAAAAUUGAUUUACCCGUAACUAUUGACAGAAAACAAACCUAUAUUAAUUUUUUAUGUAUGAUGCAGAAGCUUGCAGGACGCAACAACAAACAUGUUUAAAAAUCCUUAAUGCAUUUCUGAUCAGGUUUCAGAAGUAAACAGUGCUUCGGGUUUUGAUGAAUUGAUGAAUUUCAUUCCUGUUAUUUCUGAGUAAAUCUGAUUUGAAUUCGUUUUUAGCUUGCAGAGUGUAAAGCCCAUGUUUGUAAUUUUAUAUUCCUGUCACCUCACCUUCCAUUGCCUUGAUAAAGGUUUGUUUUUUUGUUGUUUUUUUUGCUGAAUGUUGGGUUAUUGUUUUUUAAACUGUCAGAAUGCAGACUGGUGCAGGUUUGGCUGUUUGUCUACUCAGCACAUUCGGUGGGGAUGGCUCACUUGUCAAGACGAGCUCAGAGUCAUCCAUCUCUUCAUGGUGAUUCAUCUCAGUGUGGGGAAAUGUCCACCCCUUCUUCUGACUCAGAUCACAUCUGAUGGACAGAACUCCUCCCAUUGCAGGAAUCUGAUUCCUCAUCUCCCCGAGGCUGACAGCAUAAGUUAUGUCAAUGAGGGUCUCCUGUAGUGCAACCUUGUGUGUGUGUUCAUCCCUCCAGAUGCAGACAUAACAAAAUAUAUGCUGCAGCCUGAGGGCAAACACGGUGUGAGCAACCAAAUCACCUACUGAGACUGAUUACACCUGGCCCACAUCUCCUCUCAGUGUGGAGCUUUUCACUCACCGCUUCUCACCCUAUUUAUUUACAGCCUCUUCCACUGAGUUUUGAAGUUUUGAAGACUUUUGUCUUGCAAAAGUCUUCAUUCUAUCAAUUUCUUUUCUCCCAGCCUCAAACUUCCAAGCUUUUGGGAUUUUUUGACAAAAAUGUGGACUAAUGGAUGGUGGUGUUUUUUUGUUUUUGUUUUGGAAACUUCUGAAUAAAAAUUACUUCCUCCGGUCUGAUUUUAUGGUCUUCUAGAAUUUUGGCAGUUCUAGUGUUAAGAUUAGAAGACAGAUCCAUUUGGUUGUACAUUAAAUGAAACUUAAGACGGAUAAAUAAUGAGUUAUUAGAUGAGUAUUUUGGUUGUGGAAUAAAAGGGUCUGUAUUAUGUGUUUUCCAGCCACAUAGAAUCAUUUUAGGACAAAAUCAAGUAAUUAUG